UAGGGAAUCUUCGGCAAUGGACGAAAGUCUGACCGAGCAACGCCGCGUGAGUGAAGAAGGUUUUCGGAUCGUAAAACUCUGUUGUUAGAGAAGAACAAGGAUGAGAGUAGAAUGUUCAUCCCUUGACGGUAUCUAACCAGAAAGCCACGGCUAACUACGUGCCAGUAGCCGCGGUAAUACGUAGGUGGCAAGCGUUGUCCGGAUUUAUUGGGCGUAAAGCGAGCGCAGGCGGUUUCUUAAGUCUGAUGUGAAAGCCCCCGGCUCAACCGGGGAGGGUCAUUGGAAACUGGGAAACUUGAGUGCAGAAGAGGAGAGUGGAAUUCCAUGUGUAGCGGUGAAAUGCGUAGAUAUAUGGAGGAACACCAGUGGCGAAGGCGGCUCUCUGGUCUGUAACUGACGCUGAGGCUCGAAAGCGUGGGGAGCAAACAGG
Molecule: ribosomal RNA, 430 nt
Filed under: Fusobacteriota bacterium
Lineage: Bacteria; Fusobacteriati; Fusobacteriota
Description: Fusobacteria bacterium partial 16S ribosomal RNA
Rfam family: Bacterial small subunit ribosomal RNA
Source: RNAcentral